Molecule: ribosomal RNA, 434 nt
Filed under: uncultured bacterium
Lineage: Bacteria
Description: partial 16S ribosomal RNA
Rfam family: Bacterial small subunit ribosomal RNA
Source: RNAcentral
AGCGAACGCUGGCGGCAGGCCUAACACAUGCAAGUCGAACGAACCUUUCGGGGUUAGUGGCGGACGGGUGAGUAACACGUGGGAACGUGCCUUUAGGUUCGGAAUAACUCAGGGAAACUUGUGCUAAUACCGAAUGUGCCCUUUGGGGGAAAGAUUUAUCGCCUUUAGAGCGGCCCGCGUCUGAUUAGCUAGUUGGUUGAGGUAAUGGCUCACCAAGGCGACGAUCAGUAGCUGGUCUGAGAGGAUGAUCAGCCACAUUGGGACUGAGACACGGCCCAAACUCCUACGGGAGGCAGCAGUGGGGAAUCUUGCGCAAUGGGCGAAAGCCUGACGCAGCCAUGCCGCGUGAAUGAUGAAGGUCUUAGGAUUGUAAAAUUCUUUCACCGGGGACGAUAAUGACGGUACCCGGAGAAGAAGCCCCGGCUAACUUCGUG